Long non-coding RNA from Rhipicephalus microplus (southern cattle tick), 599 nucleotides. Lineage: Eukaryota; Metazoa; Arthropoda; Arachnida; Ixodida; Ixodidae. The record is from RefSeq and is a predicted model, not a curated record.
GGCGGCGGCGGCGGUGAAAGGACGUUCGCCUAAUCAGCUCUUUUUGCUUACCCAGACUACCUGAAAACGGUUGCCGUGGCUACGGAAUCACAUCUUGACGUCACUGAGCCUGCGGAAGUGUUUACGUGUUUCCGGCGUCGACAUCGUACCUGGACACACGGGUGGCGGCGGCGGCGGUGAAAGGACGUUCGCCUAAUCAGCUCUUUUUGCUUACCCAGACUACCUGAAAACGGUUGCCGUGGCUACGGAAUCACAUCUUGACGUCACUGAGCCUGCGGAAGUGUUUACGUGUUUCCGGCGUCGACAUCGUACCUGGACACACGGGUGGCGGCGGCGGCGGUGAAAGGACGUUCGCCUAAUCAGCUCUUUUUGCUUACCCAGGUUGGUAAAUUCGCUUAUUUCUCAAUACCGCCUUACCGCCACCGCCGUUGCCACCGUGUUUCAGUGCUUUGCUGAGUUCUCUGUGCAUAAUGUGCCUUUUUCCUAAUUGAAUGCUCCCGAAUUGAGUGCGAACUGAGUGCUACUGUGAAUGCCUGGACAACGUACCAUGACAAGCACGUGCCAGUCUUGUGAUGAGCCCCUCCCCUGUGAUGGGCGUG